RNAcentral lists this ribosomal RNA (253 nucleotides) under uncultured bacterium. Its description in RNAcentral is "partial 16S ribosomal RNA". It matches the Rfam family "Bacterial small subunit ribosomal RNA", at positions 524 to 776 of the family's 1533-position model. The record is from RNAcentral.
AACGAAGGGGGCUAGCGUUGUUCGGAAUCACUGGGCGUAAAGCGCACGUAGGCGGCUCUUUAAGUCAGGGGUGAAAUCCCGGGGCUCAACCUCGGAACUGCCUUUGAUACUGGAGAUCUUGAGUCCGGAAGAGGUAAGUGGAACUGCGAGUGUAGAGGUGAAAUUCGUAGAUAUUCGCAAGAACACCAGUGGCGAAGGCGGCUUACUGGUCCGGAACUGACGCUGAGGUGCGAAAGCGUGGGGAGCAAACAGG